GGUCCGAUGGUGUAGUUGGUUAUCACUUCUGUCUAACAUUUGCACGUGACUUCUAAGCAAUCGCGUAAUGUGAACACAGGCGGUCCUCAGUUCGAACCUGGGUCGGAUCA
This is a non-coding RNA of Mycena capillaripes, 110 nucleotides long. NCBI's taxonomy places the organism in Eukaryota, Fungi, Basidiomycota, Agaricomycetes, Agaricales, Mycenaceae. The record is from the annotation of a GenBank genome assembly.